AGGAAGAUUGCAUGCGUUCGUUGCGAAAAAAUCCACCCGAGUUUCGCUACCCGGCAAUAGUGCAUUCGGGUGCCGAAAUGCACCCGUUUUGCAUCAUUUUUCGUGCCGGAACCGAAUGCCCCAAAAACACUCCCAAACAUGUUCUAGUGUAUAUUUAGGAAGAUUGCAUGCGUUCGUUGCGAAAAAAUCCACCCGAGUUUCGCUACCCGGCAAUAGUGCAUUCGGGUGCCGAAAUGCACCCGUUUUGCAUCAUUUUUCGUGCC
Molecule: long non-coding RNA, 263 nt
Filed under: Setaria italica (foxtail millet)
Lineage: Eukaryota; Viridiplantae; Streptophyta; Magnoliopsida; Poales; Poaceae
Description: long non-coding RNA (SITA_LNC001244)
Source: RNAcentral